This 253-nucleotide ribosomal RNA is filed under the name uncultured bacterium. Its description in RNAcentral is "partial 16S ribosomal RNA". It matches the Rfam family "Bacterial small subunit ribosomal RNA", at positions 524 to 776 of the family's 1533-position model. The record is from RNAcentral.
GACGAAGGUGGCGAGCGUUGUUCGGAAUCACUGGGCAUAAAGCGCACGUAGGUGGCGGCGUAAGUCGGGUGUGAAAUCCCUCGGCCUAACCGAGGAACUGCGCCCGAUACUGCGUCGCUUGAGGGUCAAAGGGGUGUAUGGAAUUCCCGGUGGAGCGGUGAAAUGCGUUGAUAUCGAUAGGAACUCCGGUGGCGAAGGCGGCAUACUGGACCACAUCUGACGCUGAGGCGCGAAAGCCAGGGGAGCAAACGGG